RNAcentral lists this long non-coding RNA (24635 nucleotides) under Capsicum annuum. RNAcentral describes it as "long non-coding RNA (CANN_LNC012744)". The record is from RNAcentral. Lineage: Eukaryota; Viridiplantae; Streptophyta; Magnoliopsida; Solanales; Solanaceae.
GAAGAUACACACUACAUUAUCUACACAAGACAACACUACACACAGGGAAUUCUUCGCACAAUUUUUCUCCACCAAACACACUGCCAUAAACACCAUCACAUAUUCACACAUACACAUCUCUAUUUGUUUCAUGGAUUAGCAACAACCCAAUUCAAAGACACAACCUCACUUUCACAGUCAUAUACACACGACACAUGGGAAAAGAAAAAAGAGGGUGAAGGGCUAGAUCGAGAUUGAGGAAAGAGAAUGAUGUGAGAGAAAAAAAGAAGAGUGAUAGAGAGAGAGUGAGAAAUAGGAGAAACACACACAUACACACAGUGAAGUCGCGUGCGAGAGAGACAAACAGAGAGUUUGAUCAAAAUGGGAGUGAACGAAAUCCGGCUGACUAUUUUGAGUUUUUCGAUGAAUUAUUCACCGAAAUUACCCAAUCCUCGCCGGAUUCUAUCAUACAAACUCAAAAUUAAUUCCAUAAGAUGAAAACCAACGAAAUCAAGUAGAAAUCUAUUAGUUGCGAGCUUCAUUCUCAGUUUUUCCAGUGAAGCAUUGAUUGGAAAAUGGGUUCGGUUAUUGUCAGUUUUCACAAUUUCUAUUUUGGGUCAGCGGAAAGCAAAAGAAGUGGUGCAUACCGAAGAUGAGGUUCACAUUGAGGCUCGAUUUGAGUUUUUGGAUUGCGGGUUUGGUCACUUCAUUCGAGUAUAUUGAAUUUUGAAAGCUCCAAAUUGAGGUCCAAUUCCAUUCUCUCCUCUUUUGUUUUAUUAUUUAUUAUAUUAUGUACUUUGAAUUGAACAUCGUGUGUUGGUUGAUCCUUGUUGGUAGUGAAUAGUUGUUUGGCGUUGAUUCAUUGUUGGUUUCUUUAACUAUACAUCGUGUGAUGAAAUGAUACCUUGCUUGAAAAUUACAAUCGAUAAUUUGGGAAUAAAAUUUGGGUGAGAAUUAAAAAUCAAUAAAACUGAAUAUUGUUGUGCCUCGACUCAUCGAUUGUUGUUGGAUUUGAAAUGAAUGUUAAUAUUAUCAAAUUCGAUACUAUCAUGAUUUAGGUCGAGAAUCAAUAGGCAAAUUUUAGGUUUGGGUAGGCAAAUUAUACAAAUUAAUGAUUGUUAAGUGAUUGAAUUAUUAUGUUUGAGAUGGUUUUAUUUUAUCGUACAAAAUUGAAAUUGUAUUUAUUUAGUCGGGGAAUGCCCCGAGGUCAUUUGUACUUAUUCAGUCGGGUAUUUCCCGAAGUAUCUUGUGCGCGAAGGACGUUCGUGAUCAAGGCCUGAGGCAUCGGGUAGAGCAUAGUUUAGGACUAGUGUAGGUUAUCGUAGGUUUAUUUCAGCAAUUUUUUUAUUUUUGAAUGUAAUAAUUGGAUUGGACACUAUAUUUUUGUUUGGUGAUUUUUUUUGUGUUUUAUUGGUUUAUACAUUCCGAUAGUGUCGUACUAGACGAUACAGUUCAUGGAGUGAUCGUGGUCACACUACGAGACCGAGGGAACCUAACACCUUCCUUUCAGUCAAUAGAAUCAAAAUUUUUAUUCGUGGAUCAGUUUUAAAGAGUCAAACCAUUUUGAAAAAGAUUUCCAACGGUGACUUGGCACACAAAAUUUAUGCCAAGUGGCGACUCUGAGUUCAAAUGUAAAGAAAUUCUUUUCGAAAUAAAUUUUUAUUUUAUGUCACUUAAUAAUAAAAACCCUUUCAAACUUAAAAUCUAUUCUUUUUUUAGUUAAAACGGGGUGUGACAGUUUGGUGAGUCUACUGGGGACUAUUUUCAGAAUUCAAGCUUAUUUUUGAGUUAUAUCAGCUUAGUUUGACACUAUAGGUGUUUAGACAUUUUGUUUGUGUUAUUGUUUUAGCAUUGUUGAGUGCCUACUUUCUACGUGUGUACAAUUUUUCUCUCUUAUGUGUUACCGCUUUAUAUCUAGCAUUAUUUGCAUAACCUGAGUUAAUUUUCUUGUAAUAAGUAUCGGAGUACACGUCAUGUACACGAACUCUAGUUGAGUCACCCUUAUUUUAAGAGGGAGAGCCGUCAGAUGUAUGGAGUAGGUGGAAAGCAAAAUAACCACUAUCGACCAUAUGCUCCCCCGAUCAGCCUUGUUAGUGGACCUCAACGUAGGUCAGCCUUUAGGUCAUGCUUAUCUGCAUCAUAUUGGGACCUAGAGGGGCGCACUUAGUCCUUUGUAGGAAAUUCACCCCAAAAGCAUUCCUACGUGCUAAUUGUUAAAUCUUUGAGGGUAAUAUGGUCAUUUGAUGGACUGGUUUGAGAAAAACAUAUGUUAGAAUUAAAUCAGAGUAUGUUUAGGCAAGAACAAUUCAAAAAAAGGGAAGAAAAGGAAAAAAAACAAGGAAAGGUGGAGAAAAAAAGAGUUUCGUAGCUGUUUAGAGUUUAUGGCUUUUAUUUUCUACAUCCAAAAAAAAAUCAAUCAAAAAGAGUUUUACCUUUUGCACUCAUUUGUCAAAAACAUAAAAAACAUCAAAAAGAUUCUUUUGAUUCUUUUAGAAAGCAUUCAUAAUUCGAAAGUUUUAAUUUUUUUUAAUAGGAGUUUUUAUAAAAGAAAAUUCAAAUGGUAGAAGUUUUGUACAUUUCAUAUAACGAAAAAACCAAAAAGAUUUCUUUCAUAGUUGUUGGUGUCACUUUUAGGUGAAGUGUCAAAUUGAAAACUCAAAAAGAUUUUAUUGACAUUGUUCAUCAUCUGUCUUUGGUCGGUUCUAUCAAGUCAGGGUUUAGUCUGUUAUUUAAUCCUUAAUUGUCCAAUCUGGACGAACUACACACACCUGAUUCUCCUCUCUCGGGAGUGAGAAACGUAGACAACCCUUCUAAGGUUCGGUGAUCUAUUAAAAAAAAUUUAAAAUGAUUUUUUCACUCUUCAUUUAGAGUAGGUGUUUCAUAUAUGUUUUGAAAAGAAAAAUUCAAAAAAAACAUUUUCCUUAAUAAUCUUAGGUUUAAUUUUGUGAUGAAAUUCAAAAUUGAAAAAUCCAAAAAGAUUUUCACAGUAUCUUUUGAAAAUAAUGAUAAAAGAAAGAAAAAAAAAUUUCUUUCCAUUUUAGAUUACUUGUAUACACAUGUUGCUUUAUCUGAAAAUUACAAAAAAAAGAGGAUUUUUCUUUAAGACUUUUAGGUUUCAUUUUUGCAUGAAUUUCAAACAAAAAAAAAGACCGUGUAAAUAUCUUUUGAAAAAAAAAAAGAGAAAGAAAGAUUCAUUUGGUAAUAGAUUAGUUAAUCAAUGCAUCCUUCCAUAUGAAAAAUACAAAAAAAAAUUCUCUUGAUAAUCACAGGUUUCAUUUUGCAUAGGGAAUUUAAAUUUGAAAAAUUCAAAUAAAAUUUUGUCAAUUCUUUUGAUAAUUUGUUAUUUUUUCAUCUUGUUAAAGUUUCAAAACAAGAAAAGAAAAAGAAAGAGAGUUUUAUUGGUCCUUUUUCGAAAAAACUUCAUGAACUAUGCACACCAGGUUCUCCUCUCUCGAGGGUGAGAUACGUAGGCGCCCUUCUUGGGUUUGGUGAUAUUUUUUAAAUAAAAAGAGCUAAAGAUUUUGAGAAAGUGUUGAAUUCAGAUGCAUUUGUUAUCUCUUGUUCAGUUAGUUUAUAGUGGUUGGUUUAUGGCAUUUUGGUUGGUCCCUCAUAUCACACCAAGCUUAAGGAAGAGUUAGUCAUAUCCAACAAGGAUAUAGAGAGUGACAUCAUGAAUCAGACAAAAAGUCUGGCAAAUGAGAAUUUAAAGAAAGAGAUUGUGAGACAAAGACAACAAAUGAUGGAAAUGCACCGAGCUUGGUUCAGUGGGUUGCCUCCUGUCUCUUUCUUCAUUUUUGACCCUGCAAAUACCUUGAGUCUUCCAUCAUAAUUGUGAAGUCAAUUUUCCACUGUUGUUGAUGUACCACAACAUGCCUCAGAAUUCACUCUAAGACAAAAACAUCCCAAUAUUUCUAUCACCUAUUCUUUAGCUCUUCAAUAUAAAUUUGCCAUAUUGAUAGCACUAUCUAUCAUUUAUGAUUUUGUUGCUCAAGCCUCUACUGAGGUUUUCACAUUGGCUAUCCGCCCAAUGGUUGUGCUUCCCAAGGCCGCUAAUGAAUGCAUGUUCAAUACUCUUGAUAAUCAUUGCUAUAUUCCUGAGUCCACAUCAAUGUUAAUUGGACCACCAAAAUUUCUUAACAAGAAGGCUAGGGAUAAUUUUACACCAAUUGUGGAGUCGUAUGCCAGUUUAUUCCAGAGAUUAAGAAAGUUGGGCAUGAUCACUCCUUUUCUUGGAUAUACUCCUGAUUCACAUUUAAGAAAUUUUGAUCCUUAUGUAUGAUGUGCAUAUCAUUAUGAUGUUCAGGGCCAUCGUAUUGAAGGUUGUAGUGCUUUGAAAAGAGAAAUAAAAAUGAUGAUUCAAGAAAAAUUGAUGAUAGUGCAAAACGUUAACACUACAAAGGUCACACAUAAUCCUUCACCAACACACAAUAAUGCACAAUAUAUGGGAAGCAAUGAGUCAAGCAUGGGGAUCCAGAACUUAUUUAUUGAAGGGAAUAUGUCAGAUAGCGGUGAAAGCUCUAGUCAUGAUGAUGUGUAAAUCAGUGGCUAAGAUGUCAAGCUCAGCAAUUAGGAAGUCAUUUCUCUCCUUACUUGGAAGGAUUGUUGGUAGUUUAUUUUGUUUCUCUUUCUGUUUUUUGAAUUAUUUUGGGGUUGUAGUUUGAAAUCUAUCGUGUUUUGUUUCUCUGUCAUCUUUGUUUAAAUCUUUCUAUUUUUCUUUUCAAUGAGAUUUAAUGUCCUUUGUCAUUUUGUUCUUUUUAAGUUGUUUGUUUGUCUUCUUUAUCAAAUUACAGUUUAUGUUAGUUCUAGUGUUAUGACAUGCUUGCGGAAUUUUUAGGCAGAUCUUAAAAUUCAGUUUAACCAUGUAAUGUUGAAUUAGAGGGCUAAAGUUAAAAAAAGGCAUAUGAGGAAAUGGUAGAGUGUUGAUACAUUUGGUGACCGCGUUGAAGCCUUCUUUCAAAAUUAAGGCAAUUAUUUUGAGAAUCACAAGAAUAACUUGGUCAUCCAUUGAAAAUCAUAUCUCAAUUAUGUUAAAUAGUGGAUGCGUGAUCCCUAUAUCAAGAGAAAUAGGAAGAUAAUCAGCUCCACGAAAGCAUGGAUCAUUCGAUGUGAGGGAUACACAACAAAUGUGGAGUUGUAUGUUUGACAAGUGUAGAAGAAGAAGUGGCACACAUGCUCAGUUAAAGUCAGUGUUGUUAAAGUGUCACAAAUGAUCUUCAUCUUUAACUUUAUACUGCAUGAUGUGUGCUUGCAUUUUCAAGGAUUGAUAUGAUGAAGGCUUUUCAUUCUGCUAUCCAAAUAUUGUGUCAUCCUUUAUUUGCCCCAUUUGAGCCUUAGUGUUUUUUUUUUCAUAUCCCGCUUUUGGAAUCAAGAUAAAUUCAAAAAGUUUUACAAAAAGAGUGUCGAGCAAAACAAUAGAGUCAGAAAAGUUUCAAAAAAAGAGAAGAGGGAAAAAAUAUGUCCAAAAAAAUAAAAAUAAAAGAGUGACAAGAAAAAUAGAGUCAGAAAAAAAUUGCACAGAGAAAAGAGUUGAUUUAAGAAAAAAAAGAAAAAAAAUCAGAAUCAAGCAAAAGAAUGAGUUGCCGGAACUACGUGUGACCUGAUUGUUUUAUUCCGGAGGUGAGAUAUGUAGGAUACCCCACUUUGGGCUCAGUCUAACCGAGUGAAAAAUUUAGAGUCACCCAGUCAAAAGAAACUAGGGCAUGAGUUAAUCCUCAUUGUUUGAGUCAAUUCCAAAAGUUGUAAGUCCUACCACACUUUGUCAUUUGAGCCUUAUGUCAUCCUUUCUUUCUAAACCUUAUCCAAAAUCCAAGUUAUAACCAAAGAAAGACCUUCAGAUCAAUCUUUGAGAAUAUUAAGGCUAAGCAUACAAUGCAUAAUGAUAAUGUAUUUUGGGAACUACUUGUCUUCGUUAGCAUAAGAAAUCAAGAGAGAAAUAAAAAUGAGAGAAUCUUAUUAGUGAAAACCCCCACAGGCAUCGUAAGACUAUGGUAAGUUGAGAGAGUCUUAUUGAUGAAAACCCUUAGGGGCACUAUAAGACGAAUGUAAGUUGAGAGAAAUAAAAAUAAGAGAGUCUCAUUGGUGAAAAACCUUCACAGACAUUAUAAGGUAUUGGUGAGAUGAGAGAAAAUGAGAUAGACUUAUUGGCAAAAACCCUUCAAGGUGUUACUAGCUGAAUGAGGUGUUAAACGCAAUUGACCUAAGGAAGAAACUCAGUUUCAUGGCGACAAUUGGUAGAAAGUUUGGAUAGAAAGAUCAGGCAGCUUAAUCCAAAAUGCAUGUCAUAAUCAUUAGAAUUGACUAUUAUUUUCAGAUAAGUUUUUGUUUCUUUGUUUUAAAAAAUGAACAAAUAUUGUCUUUUCUUUCUUCUUUAUAUUUCUAUUUUUGCCUUUUGAAUCUGUCAUUCGAACAGAAUUUUUUUUAAUGCAUUUGAGUCAAGUCUAUGUCAAAAUAAGUGGGAAAGGAUUUUAAAAUUUGCUACCAACUUCUUCAAUUGUACAAAGCAAGACAAAAAGGCCAGCACAUGAAAAAGACAUGACUAUGAGCGGAAAUAAGGCAUGCGUAAUGUUUUGUCAACAAACAAAUUUGGGUACUCCAGGAAAUACCAAGGUUCAAAGGGUUUAUCUGAGAAUCAUGACAAAGCUGAAAUACCAUGUUUGUUUUAGAGACUCUCUUAAUAAUCUAAGUUUAGGUCAAUGAUACAGUAAGUCAAUGAAUUAUACUAAUGGUUGGAAGUAAGGUUAAUGGAAAAAGUGCAAGGGAAAUCACCCAAAAGCCAAAGCCAUAAGCCAGCCACCCUGUUUUAAACUCGCAAGUUUUCUUUGUAUGAAACAAGAACAAUCGCUACCUUCUAAUCAAAGGAAUCAAAGCUCAAAUAUCCCGAGGUGCGAUUCCUCAUUUUUGUAAAUGCAAGAGCAGUGUUGCUAUACAGGUUUGGUAAUUACAGUCAUGGUAAACCUCAUCAUCUUGUACCCCUAAGAGGCACAUUCUCUAAUUUUGGGUCUUUUAUGUCUCAUGGCUAAGAGGUGCUCAUCCUAAUUUGAGCCUUUAAUCCUAAAAAAUGCACUUUUUGUAAGAAUAUUUCAAUUUCAUUCUUAAGAGAGGGACUUGUUGAUCUCAGUCAUUCAACUUUACCCUCAAAAGGUGCAUUUCUUGAUCAGAAUCUUAAUUAAUCUUUGCAUUAUGCAUUGUUGCAAGUAGUUGUGAUUGGGUUUGACACCUGCAAAAGCUUUUGAUGAUAAAUAGGGACAAAAAGAAAAUUUAAUUCUUGUUAUAAGGAACUUCACUUCAGGGCCCUCCUGGAAAAUGGGAAUUUACUUUAUGUUCAGGACCCUUCUGGAAAAUGAGAAUUUACUUUAUAUUCAGGACCCUCCUAGAAAAUGAGAAUUUACUUUCUGUUUAGGACCCUCCUGGAAAAUGGGAUCUUACUUUAUGUUCAGGACCCUCCUGAAAAAUGGGGAUUUACUUUAUGAUUAGAACUCUCCAGGAAAAUAAAAAUUUAUUUUAUGUUCAGGACCCUCCUGAAAAAUGAGAAUUUACUUUAUGUUCAGGACUCUCCUGGAAAAUGGAAACUUACUUUAUGUUCAGGAACCUCCUGAAAAAUGGGAACUUACUUUAUGUACAUGACCCUCUUGAAAAAUGGGGAUUUACUUUAUGAUCAGGACCCUUCUGGAAAAUGGGAAUUUACUUUAUGAUCAGGAUCCUCUUGGAAAAUGAAAAUUUACUUUAUGCUCAGGACCCUCCCAAAAAAUGGAAACUUAUUUUAUGUUCAGUACCCUCCUGAAAAAUGGGGAUAUACUUAAUGAUCAGCACCCUCCUAAAAAUGGGAAUUUACUUUAUAUUCAGGACCCUUCUGGAAAAUGAGAAUUUACUUUAUGUUUAGGCCCAUCCUGGAAAAUGGAAAUUUACUUUGUGUCCAGGACCCUCCUGAAAAAUGGAAAUUUACUUUAUGUUCAGGACCUUCCUGAAAAAUAGGAACUUACUUUAUGUUCAGGACCCUUCUGAAAAAUAGGGAUUUCUUUUAUGAUCAGGACUCUCCUGGAAAAUGAGAAUUUACUUUAUGUUCAGGACCCUUCUGAAAAAUGGAAACUUACUAUAUGUUUAGGACUCUCCUGAAAAAUGGAAACUUACUUUAUGUUUAGGACCCUCCUGAAAAAUGAGAAUUUAAUUUAUGUAUAGGACCCUCUUGAAAAAUAGGGAUUUACUUUAUGAUCAGGACCCUCCUAGAAAAUAAAAAUUUACUUUAUGUUCAGGACCCUCCUGGAAAAUGAAAAUUAAAUUUAUGCUCAGGACCCUUCUGAAAAAUGGAAACUUACUUUAUGUUCACUACCCUCCUAAAAAAUGGGGAUUUACUUAAUGAUCAGCACCCUCCUGAAAAAUGAGAAUUUACUUUAUGUUCAGGACCCUCCUGAAAAAUGAGAAUUUACUUUAUGCUCAGGACUAUCCUGGAAAAUAGAAAUUUACUUUAAGUUCAGGACCCUCCUAAAAUAUGGAAAUUACUUUAUGUUCAGGACCCUCUUGGAAAAUAUUGAACAUGGGAAUUUACUUAUAUUCAUGACCCUCCUGAAAAAUAAGAAUUUACUUUAUGUUUAGGACUUUCCUAGAAAAUGGGGCAUUAUUUAAUGUUCAGGACCCUCCUGGAAAAUGAGAAUCUACUUAUGUUCAUGACCCUCCUGGAAAAUGGAAAUUUACUUUAUGUUCAGGACCUUCCUGAAAAAUGAGAAUUUACUUUAUGUUCUGGAUCCUCCUGGAAAAUGGGAAUUUACUUUAUUUUUAGGACCCUCCUGAUAAAUGGAAAUUUAUUUUAUGUUCAGCACCCUCCUGAAAAGUGGGAAUUUUCUUUAUAUUCAGGACCCCCCUAAAAAAUGGGAAUUUACUUUAUGUUCAGGACUCCCCUGGAAAACAGGAAUUUACUAUAUGUUUCGGACCUUCCCUGAAAAAUGAGAAUUUACUUUAUGUUCAGGACCCCCUGGAAAAUGGAAAUUUACUUUAUGUUUGCGGCCCCCCCUAGAAAAUGAGAAUUUACUUUCUGUUCAGGAGCCUUUUGGAAAAUGAAAUUUACUUUCUGUUCAGGACCCUCCUAAAAUAUGGGACUUUACUUUCUGUUCAGGACCCUACUGGAAAAAUGGGACUUUACUUUUUGUCCUUGAUCCUCCCUAAAAUAGGGUUUUAUUUUCAGAAAAAGGGAAUCAUUCAUUACGAUAACUCUUCAAGAUAAUUUGUGUUCUAGUUUUGACUUUGAUUUCAGAAGAAUUAAAAGUUAGACGCCUGCCUGAAAAAAUAGAGUGCGAUGAAAUGGCAAGUCAGGAGCCCUCCCCAAAACUAGGGUGAUGAAAUUGAAAGUCAGGGGCUCGCCCAAAGAACAGGGUGAAGAAAUUGAAAGUCAAUCAUCAAGGUUUGAAGAAAUUGAAAGUCAAGAAACAAGGUUUGGAGAUUAAAAGUCAAGCAACAAAGUAAAGAAAGUGUAAGUCAGUAGCCCGCCUGAAAAAUAGAGUGGAGAUUUUCAAUUUCACGAUCAAGGUCCAGAAGUACCCCCGACAGAACAUGGUUAAUUUGUGAACUCAUCUCCAAAAAUCAAAUUUUGUAUGGAGAAAGAAUCUACUCCAAAGUUCAACCCAAAGAAAAUUAGCUCUUUUGUCACUUUUGAAAGCAUCGGAGACCCAAGACAAGAAUCAAGAGAUGCUGUAUAGAUAGGACUUUUGUAGUGUCAUUUAUCUUUUAACUUGUAAUUUUAUUUUGAUGUAAUGACAGCGCCGCAGACCAAAACCUCGAAGGGACCUCACUCGACUCUCCAAUUUGAUAUAGUCUCUUCUUUUAAAUCCUGGAACUACAUGCAGCCAGAUCCCCACCUAAUCUGGGAUAGGUAGGACGUCCAAAGUCAAGAUUCGAUUUCACUCGAUCUUUCUUCAGUGUUCUUUUGAAUAAUGGUCGGUCAAAAUUUUGUCUCGUUGUCUACUGCUUUGUCUAGAAACACUUUGUGUUUACAUCCAAAGAGGGACAUAAUGUAGACACGUAAUUUUAUUCUCUCCCAAAAAAUAAUUUCUACUAAUUUACCUAUCCUGCCUCCUAUCUUUCCUUACCCUUACCUAAUCCUACCUACUAAACUAGAACACCCACGUGCACCCUCCAUUUGGUUAACAAAAAAAAUAAAUACAACAUACACUCACUCACAGAAGACACAGAUGACACACACUACAUUAUCUACACAAAACAACACUACACACGCAGGGAAUUCUCUGCAUAAUUUUUCUCCACCAAACACACUGCCAUAAACACCAUCACAUAUUCACACACACAUAUUUCCAUUUUUUUCAUGGAUUAGCAAUAACCCAAUUCAUAGACACAACCUUACUUUAACAGUCAUAUACACAUGACACACAAGAAAAGAAAAAGUGGGUGAAGGGAGAGAUCGAGAUUGAGGGAAGAGAAUGACGUGCAAGAGAAAAAGAAGAGUGAUCGAGAGAGAGUGAGAAAUUGGGUGGAAAAUACACACAUACAUAUAGUGAAGUCGCGUGAGAGAGAGAGAGAGAUGAAUAGAGAGUUUGAUCAGAAAGGGAGUGAACGAAAUCCAGCUGGCUAUGUUGAGUUUUCCGGCAAAUUCUUCACCGAAAUAAGCCAAUCCCUGUCGGAUUCUAUCACACAAACUCAAAAUUGGUUCCACUAUUUGAAAACCAACGAAGCCAAGUAGAAAUCUGUUUGUCGCAACCUCCAUUCCCAGUUUUUUUGGUGAAGCAUUAAUUGGAAAUUGGGUUCGAUUAUUGUCAGUUCUCACGAUUUCUAUUUCAGGUCAGCGGAGAGCAAAUGAAGUAGUGCAUACUGAAGCUGAUUUCUACAUUGAGGGUCGAUUUAAGGUUUUGGGUUGCGGGUUUGGUCACUUCAUUUGAGUAUAUUGAAUUUUGAAAACUCCAAAUUGAGGUCCAAUUAUAUUCUCUUCUCUUUUGUUUUAUUAUUUAUUAUAUUCGAUAAUUUCAAUUGAACAUCGUGUGUUGGUUGAUCCUUGUUGAUAGUGAAUAGUUGUUUAGGGUUGAUUCAUUGAUGGUUCCUUUGACCAUACGUCGUGUGAUGAAAUGAUACCUCGCUUGAAAAUUAAAAUCGAUAAUUUGGGAAUAAAAUUAGGGUGAGAAUUGAAAAUUGAUAAAAGUAAAUAUUGUUGUGCCUUGAUUCAUCAAUUGUUGUUGGAUUUGAAAUGAAUGUUAAUUUUAUCGAAUUCGAUAGUAUCAUGUUUUAGGUCAAGAAUCAAUAGGCAAAUUUUAGGUUUGGGUAGGCAAAUUAUAGAAAUUAAUGAUUGUUAAGUGAUUGAAUUAUUGUGUUUGAGAUUGUUUUAUUUUAUCACAUAGAAUUAAAAUUGUAUUCAUUUAGAUGGGGAAUACCCUGAGGUCAUUUGUACUUAUUCACCUGGGUAUUUCCCGAAGUAUCUUGUGUGCGAAGGACGUUCAUGAUCAAGGCCCGAGGCAUCGGGUAAAGUAUAGUUUAGUACUAGUGUAGGUUAGCGUAGGUUUAUUUCAGUACCUUUUUUAUUUUGGAAUGUAAUAAUUGGACUGGACACUAUAUUUUCAUUUGGUGAUUUAUUUUUUUGUGUGUUUUAUUGGUUUAUACAUUCCAUUAGUGUUGUACUAGCCGAUACAGUUCACGGAGUGAUCGUGGUCAAACCACUAGACCGAGGGGUGCCUAACACCUUUCUUUUUGUCAACAGAAUUCCUUAACUGAAAUUUCUAUUCAUGGAUCAGUUUUAAAGAGUCAAACCAUUUUGAAAAGAAUUUCGAACAGUGACUUGGCACACCAGAUUUAUGCCAAGUGGCAACUCUGAGUUCAAAUGAAAUGGAAUCCUUUUCGAAAUUAAUUUUCAUUUUUUGUCACUUCAUAAUAAAAACCCUUUCAAACUUGAAAUCUAUUCUUUUUUUUUCGGUCAAACAGGGCUGUGACAAUUUAGGGACUAUUUUUAGAAUUCGAGUUUAUUUUUGAGUUAUAUCGGCUUAGUUUGACACUAUAGGUAUUUAGACAUUUUGUUUGUGUUAUUAUUUUAGCAUUGUUGAGUGCUUACUUGCUACGUGUUUAUAGUUUUUCCUGUUAUGUGUUACCACUUUAUAUCUGGCAUCAUUUACAUAACCCGAGUUAAUUUUUUCUGCAAUAAGUACCGGAGUACACGUCGUGUACACGAACUUUAGUUGAGUCACCCUUAUUUUAGAAGGGAGAGCCGUCGGAUGUAUGGAGUACGUAAAAAGCAAAGCAACCAUUAUCGACCAUAUAUUCUCCCGAUUAGCCUUGUUAGUGGACCCCAACAUAGGUCAGCCUUUAGAUUAUGCUUAUCUGCAUUAUAUUGGGACCUAGCAGGACUUAUUUGGUCCUUUGUAGGAAACUCACCUCCAAAGCAUUCCUAUAUGCUAAUUGUUGCAUCUUUGAGGGUAAUAUAGUCAUUUGGCAGACUGGUUUGAGAAAAACAUGUGUUAGAAUUAAAGAAGAGGGCGGGAGUGGGAGGGAGGCCAAGGUUUGGCCGCCGUGGGGGGGGGGGACAGGGGAGGGCGGGAUGGUAGGCUGAGGGUUGGGGGUUGGAAUAUAGGGACCCUUCAGGGUAAGUCCAUAGAGCUUGUGAAGAUUCUUAGGAAGAGGAGGAUCAACAUUGCGUGUGUUCAAGAGACCAAGUGGGUAGGGUCUAAGGCUAGGGAUGUGGAUGGUUACAAGCUGUGGUACGCUGGGAGCGAGAGGCGUAGGAAUGGAGUUNNNNNNNNNNNNNNNNNNNNNNNNNNNNNNNNNNNNNNNNNNNNNNNNNNNNNNNNNNNNNNNNNNNNNNNNNNNNNNNNNNNNNNNNNNNNNNNNNNNNNNNNNNNNNNNNNNNNNNNNNNNNNNNNNNNNNNNNNNNNNNNNNNNNNNNNNNNNNNNNNNNNNNNNNNNNNNNNNNNNNNNNNNNNNNNNNNNNNNNNNNNNNNNNNNNNNNNNNNNNNNNNNNNNNNNNNNNNNNNNNNNNNNNNNNNNNNNNNNNNNNNNNNNNNNNNUGGAGUUUGCGAGGGCCUUUGGGCUGGUGGUGGUGAACUCGGGCUUCCCGAAGAAGGACGAGCACCUGAUCACCUUUCGAAGUGCGCUAGCCAGGACUCAGAUUGACUUUUUGUUGCUUAGGAAAGGGGAUAGGGCAUUGUGUAAGGACUCUAAAGUCAUCCCCAGUGAGAAUCUUUUGACCUUGCAUAGGCUCUUGGUUAUGGAUUUAGGUAUAAAGAAGAAUAAAAAGAGGAGAAGUAAGGAGGGUAGAUCGAGAAUUAAGUGGGACGGCCUGACGCCAGUGAAUGCGUGGGAGAUAGGGGAGGGGUUGGCGGGAAUGGGGGUGUGGGAGUGUAGGGGGGACGUGGAUAGUAUGUGGGACAGGGCGGCAAGGUUCAUCAGGGAGAAUGCAAGUGAGAUGUUGGGUGUUUCUAGGGGCUGGGCCAGGCACCAUCGGGGGGAUUGGUGGUGGAAUGAAGAGGUGGAGAAGAAAGUGGGGACCAAGAAAGGGGCGUAUGAUAAGUUGGUGGAAAGUAAGGACGAAGAGGAGAAGCGGGUGUACAGGAAAGAGUACAAGCUAGCGAGGAAGGAGGCGAAGUCAGCAGUCACGGCUGCUAAGACGGCCGCUUUUGAGAGCUUGUAUGCAGGGUUACAGGGGAAAGGAAGGGAGAAAAAGUUGUUUAGACUCGCUAAGGCUAGGGAGAGGAAGGGUCGUGACCUCGAUCAGGUGAGGUGCAUUAAGGAGGAGGACGGUAGAGUGUUGGUGGAGGACGGCCACAUAAAGAAGAGAUGGCAGUCGUACUUUCAUAGGCUCUUGAAUGACGAGGGGGACAGAGCUAUUGUGUUAGGGGAACUGGAGCACUCAGGGGAGUGUCGGGAUUUUAGCUAUUGUAGACGUUUUAAGGUAGACGAGGUUAGACAGGCAGUCCGCAGGAUGCGAAGGGGUAGGGCGACGGGGCCGGAUGAGAUACCGGUGGAGUUUUGGAAGUUCGUUGGAGAGGCUGGUGUAAGGUGGUUGACUGCAUUGUUCAAUGAAAUUUUCAGGACAGCAAAGAUGCCCGAGGCGUGGAGGUGGAGUACCAUGAUCCCCCUCUAUAAGAAUAAGGGGGACAUUCAGUGUUGCAAUAACUAUAGGGGGAUUAAGUUACUGAGUCACUCUAUGAAGAUCUGGGAGAGAGUGGUCGAGGUGAGGCUGAGACGGAUAGUGUCUAUCUCGGAAAACCAGUUCGGAUUUAUGCCCGGCCGCUCGACGACGGAGGCAAUUCACCUGGUACGGCGGUUGGUGGAGCAAUAUAGGGAAAGGAAGAAGGAUUUGCACAUGGUGUUCAUCGACCUAGAAAAGGCGUACGACAAAGUCCCCAGGGAGGUGCUUUGGAGAUGCUUGGAGGUGAGUGGAGUACCGCAGGCAUAUAGCAGAGUAAUUAAGGAUAUGUAUGAGGGAGCGAAAACCCAGGUGAGGACGGCGGGAGGAGACUCAGAGCAUUUCACUGUCCUGACAGGAUUGCAUCAGGGAUCUACUCUUAGUCCCUUUUUGUUUGCGCUAGUAAUGGAUGUGUUAACGCGGCGUAUCCAAGGGGAGGUGCCGUGGUGUAUGCUUUUUGCAGACGAUGUAGUCCUGAUAGAUGAGACGCGAGGGGGUGUGAACGACAAAUUAGAGCUGUGGAGGCAAACUCUGGAGUCUAAAGGGUUCAGGGUGAGCAGAACCAAGACAGAGUAUGUGGAAUGUAAGUUUAAUGACGUAAGGCGAGAGAAUGAGGUAGUGGUGAGGCUAGAAGCGCAGGAGGUAAAGAAAAGGGAUAAGUUCAAGUACCUCGGGUCCGUGAUCCAGAGUAACGGUGAGAUUGACGAGGAUGUCUCGCACCGUAUCGGGGCGGGAUGGAUGAAGUGGAAACUUGCAUCGGGGGUGCUGUGUGAUAAGAAGGUGCCGCCCAAGCUUAAAGGUAAAUUCUAUAGGGUGGUAGUCCGUCCGGCCUUGCUGUAUGGAGCGGAGUGUUGGCCAGUUAAGAACUCCCACACCCAAAGAAUGAAGGUGGCAGAAAUGCGGAUGUUGCGCUGGAUGUGUGGACUGACCCGAAGGGAUAGAGCUCGGAAUGAGACUAUCCGGGAGAAGGUUGGGGUGACUUCAGUGGAGUGUAAGAUGCGGCGUGACUUCAGUGGAGUGCAAGAUGCGGGAAGCACGAUUGAGAUGGUUCGGACACGUGAAGAGGAGGGGCAUGAAUGCCCCGGUCCGUAGGUGUGAGAGGCUAGCGUUGGAUGGUUUUAGGCGGGGUAGGGGUAGGCCGAAGCAGUAAUGGGGUGAGGUGAGUAGGCGGGACAUGGAACAGUUACAGCUUACCGAGGACAUGACCCUAGAUAGGAAGGUCUGGAAGACGCGAAUUACGGCAGAGGAUUAGGGCCUGUUCGGGUCGCUAAUGUAGGGAGGUAAUUGGUGGGGGUGUAUUCCUGGUAUGAUUCCGUAUUCAAUGUUCUGUUCCGUGUUCCGUGUUCUAUGUUUGUUACGAAUCUGUGUGCUUUCCUCUCCAUGUUGUAUUACGAAUCUGUGUGCUUUCCCCUGCUUUCCUCUGCUUUAUAUUACUUAUGGGUGCCGUAUUUAUGUUAUGUAAUUUGCUUCUGUGCUGCACUAUGUGUUUGUGUGGUAUCUCGUGCCUUGAGCCGGGGGUCUAUCGGAAACAGCCUUUCUACUUCAUCAGAGGUAGAGGUAUGGACUGCGUACAUCUUACCCCCCCCCAGACCCCACUAGGUGGGAAUACACUGGGUUUGUUGUUGUUGUUGUUAUUGUGUUUAGGCAAAAACAAUUCAAAAAAAAAAGAGAAGGAAAGGAAAAAGAAAAGAAGAAAAGGUAAAUAAAAAAAGAGUUUCGUAGUAGUUUAGAGUUUUAUGGCUUUUAUUUUCUACAUAAAAAAAAUAAAUCAGAAAGAGUUUUACCUUUUGCACUCAUUUGUCAAAAACAAAAAAAAUAUAAAAUAAAUUCUUUUGAUUCUUUUAGCAUGCAUUCAUAAUUCAAAAAUUAAAAAAAAAAUAAAAAUUUAAUAGGAGAUUUUAUAAAAGAAAAUUCAAAUGAUAGAAGUUUUGUACGUUUCACAUAACGAAAACACCAAAAGAUUUCUUUCAUAGUUGUUGGUGUCAGUUUUAGGUGAAGUGUCAAAUUGAAAACUCAAAAAAAAUUAUUGACAUUGUUCAUCAUUUGUCUUUGGUUGGGUCUAUCAAGUCUGGGUUCAUUCUGCUAUUUAAUCCUUAAUUGUCCAAUCUGGAUGAACUACACACACCUGAUUCUCCUCUCUAGGGAGUGAGAUACGUAGGCAGCCCUUCUAAGGUUUGGUGAUCUAUUAAAAAAAAUUUAAAAUAAUUUUUUUUCACUCUUCAUUUAGAGUAGGUGUUUCAUAUAUGUUUAAAAAAGAAAAAUCCAAAAAGAAGAUUUUCCUUAAUAGUCUUAGAUUUAAUUUUGUGAUGAAAUUCAAAAUUAAAAAAUCCAAAAAGAUAUUCACAGUAUCUUUUGAAAAUAAUGAUAAAAGAAAGAAUUUGUUUUCUCUCUCCAUUUUAGAUUAAUUGAAUGCGCAUGUUGCUUAAUCUGAAAAGUACAAAAAAAGAGGAUUUAAAGAGGAUUUUUCUUUAAGACUUUUAGGUUUCAUUUUUGCAUGAAUUUCAAAACAAAAAAUAAAGACUAUGUAAAUAUCUUUUGAAAAAAAAGAGAAAGAAAGAUUCAUUUGGUAAUAGAUUAGUUAAUCAGUGCAUCUUUCCAUAUGAAAAAUACAAAAAGAUUUUCUUUUGAUAAUCACAGAUUUUAUUUUGCAUAGUGAAUUUAAACCUAAAUAAUUCAAAAAGAUUUUCAUCAAUUAUUUUGACAAUUUGUUAUAUUUUCUUCUUUUGGUUCAAGGAAAAAAAAAAGAAAAAUAAAGAGAGUUUUAUUGGUCCUUUUCUGACCAAACUUCAUGAACUAUGCACACCUGAUUCUCCUAUCUCGAGGGUGAGAUACGUAGGCGCCCUUCUUGGAUUCGGUGAUCUUUUUAAAAGAAAAAGAGAAUUUUUUUUGAGAAAGUGUUGAAUUCUGAUGCAUUUGUUAUCUCUUGUUCAGUUAGUUUAAGGUGGUUGGUUUAUGAUAUUUUGGUUGGUCCCCUAAAUCAUACCAAGCCUAAGCAAGAGUUAGUCAUGUCCAACAAGGAUAUAGAGAGUGACAUCAUGGAUCAGAAAAAAUAUUUGCCAAAUGAGAAUUUAAAGGAAAAGAUUAUGAGACUAAGACAACAAAUAAUAGAAAGGCACCGAGCUUGGGGCAGUUGGUUACCUUCUGCCUCAUUCCCUAUUAUUGACCCCACAAAUACUUUACGUCUUCCAUUACAAUUGCGAAUUCAAUUUCCCACUAUUGUUGAUGUACAACAACAUGCCUCAGAUUUCACUCCAAGACAAAAGCAUCCCAAUGUUUCCAUCACUCAUUCUCCAGAUCUUCGAUGUAAAUCUUCCACAUUGAUAUAUCAUUUGUGAUUUUGUUGCUUAAGCCUCUACUGAGACUUCCACAUUGGCUAUCCACCUAAUGGUUGUUCUUCUCGAGGUUGCUAGUGAAUGCAUGUUCAAUACUCCUGAUGAUCAUUGCUAUAUUCCUGAGCCUACAUCAAUGUUAAUUGGACCACCAAAAUUUCUUAAAAAGAAGGCUAAGGAUAAUUUUACACCAAUUGGGGAGUUGUAUGCCAGUUUAUUAUAGAGAUUAAGAGAGUUCGGCAUGAUCACUCCUCUUCUUCGAUGUACUCCUGAUUCAUAUUCAAGAAAUUUUGAUCCUCAUGUAUGAUGUGCAUAUCAUUUUGAUGUUCAGGGUUACAGUAUUGAAGGUUGUAGUUCUUUGAAACGAGGAAUAGAAAGGACGAUUUAAGAAAAAUUAAUCAUAGUGCAAAACGUUGAGACUACAAAGGUCACACAUAAUCCUUCACCAACACACGAGAAUGCACAAUAUGUGGGAAGCAGUAAGUCAAGCAUGGGUAUCCAAAACUUAUUUAUUAAAGGGAAUGUAUUGGAUAGCGGUGAAAGCUCUAGUCAUGAUAAUGUGCAAAUCAGUGGCUAAGAUGUCAAGCCUCUACUGAGGCUUCCACAUUGGCUAUCCACCCAAUGGUUGUGCUUCCCCAGGACACUAGUGAAUGCAUGUUUAAUACUCUUGAUGAUCAUUGCUAUAUUCCUGAGCCCACAUUAAUGUUAAUUGGACCACCAAAAUUUCUUAACAAGAAGGCUAGGGAUAAUUUUACACCAAUUGGGGAAUCGUAUACCAGUUUAUUCUAAAGAUUAAGAGAGUUGGGCAUGAUCAGUCCUCUCUUUGGAUAUACUUUUGAUUCACAUUUAAGAAAUUUUGAUCCUCAUAUACGAUAUCCAUAUCAUUCUUAUGUUUAGGGUUACAGUAUUGAAGGUUGUAGUGCUUUGAAAAGAGAAAUAGAAAGGAUGAUUCAAGAAAAAUUGAUCGUAGUGCCAAAUAUUGACAUUACAAAAGUCACACAUAAUUCUUCACCAACAUAAGAUAAUGCACAAUAUGUGGGAAACAAUGAGUCAAGCAUGGGGAUCCAGAACUUAUUUGUUGAAGAAAAUGUGUCGGAUAGUGGUGAAAGCUCUAGUCAUGAUGAUGUGUAAAUCAGUGGCUAAGAUGCCAAGCUCAGCAAUUAGGAAGUCACUUCUCUUCUUACUUGGAACGAUUGAAGGUAGUUUGUUUUGUUUUCCUUUCUGUUUUUUGAAUUAUUUUAGGGUUGUAGUUCAAAAUCUAUCGAAUUUUGUUGCUCUGUCCUCUUUGUUUAAACCCUUCUAUUUUUCCUUUUAAUGAGAUGUGAUGUCCUUUGUCGUUUUGUCCCUUUUAAGUUGAUUGUUUCUCUUCUUUAUCUAAUUACAGUUUAUGUUAGUUCUAGUGUUAUGACAUGCUUGCAGAAUUUUCAGCCAGAUCUUAAAAUUCAGUUUAAUCAUAAAACAUUGAAUUAGAGGGCUAAAGUUAAAAAAAAAAGGUAUAUGAGGAAUUGAUAGAGUGUUGAGGCAUUUGGUGACCGUGUUGAAGCCUUCUUUCAAAAUUAAGGCAAUUAUUUUGAGAAUCACAAGAAUAACUUAGUCAUCCACUGAAAAACAUAUCUCAAUUAUGUCAAAUAGUGGAUGUGUGAUCCCUAUAUGAAGAGAUAUAGGAAGAUAAUCAGCUCCACAAUAGCAUGGAUCAUUCAAUGUAAGGGAUAUACAACAAAGGUGGAGUUGUAUGUUUGACAAGUGUAGAAGAAGAAGUGUCACACAUGCUCAGUUAAAGACAAUGUUGUUAAAGUGUCACAAAUGAUCUUCAUCUUUUAUUUCAUACUGCAUGAUGUGUACUUGCAUUUUCAAGGAUUGAUAUGAUGAAGGAUUUUCAUUUUGCUAUCCAAAUAUUGUGUCAUCCUUUGUUUGCCCCAUUUAAGACUUAGUGUUGUUUUUUUUUCAUAUCCCUCUUUUGGAAUCAAGAUACAGUCAAAAAGUUUUUAAAAAGAGUGUCGAGCAAAACAAUAGAGUCAGAAAAGUUUCAAAAAAAGAGAAGAGGGAAAAAAAUAUGUCCAAAAAGAAAAAAAUAAAAGAGUGACAAGAAAAAUAGAGUUAGAAAAAAAUCUCAAAGAGAAAAGAGUCGAUAAAAGAAAAAAAGAAAAAAAAUCAGAAUCAAGCAAAAGAAUGAGUUGCCGGAACUACGCCUGACCUGAUUCUCUUCUUCUGGGGUUGAGAUACGUAGGCUGCUCCACUUUGGGAUCAGUCUAACCAAUUGAAAAAUUUAGAGUCACCCAGUCAAAAGAAACUGGGGCUUGAGUUCAUCCUCAUUGUUUGAGUCGAUUCCAAAAGUUGUAAGUCCUACCCCACUUCAAGUGUUGUUUGGGCCUCAUGUCAUCCUUCCUUUCUAAACCGUAUCCAAAAGCCAAGUUAUAACCAAAGAAAGACCUUUAGAUCAAUCUUUGAGAUGUUAAGGCUAAGCAUGUAAUGCACAUAAUAAUGUAUUUUGGGAACUACUUGUCUUCCUCAGCAUAAGAAAUCAGGAGAGAAAUAAAAAUAAGAGAAUUUUAUUGGUGAAAACCCCCACGAGCACCGUAAGACUAUGCUAAGUUGAGAGAGAUAAAAAUGAGAGAGGCUUAUUGGUGAAAACCCUUACGGGAACUGUAAAAUGACUGUUAGUUGAGAGAAAUAAUAAUAAGAGAGUCUCAUUGGUGAAAACCCUCACGGACAUCAUAAGGCGAUGGUGAGCUGAGAUAAAAUGAAAGAGACUUCUAGGCAAAAAUCCUUCAAGGUGUCACUAGCCAAAUGAGGUUUUAAAAGAAAUUGACCUAAGGAAGCUACUCAGUUUCAUGGACGAUAAUUGGUAGAAAGUUUGGAUGGAAAGAUCAGGCAACUUAAUCCAAAAUGCAUGGCAUAAUCAUUAGAAUUGACUGUCAUUUUUAGAUAAAUUUUUGUUUCUUUGUUUUAAAAAGGGGACAAAUAUUGUCUUUUCUUUCUUUGUUAUAUUUCUAUUUUUGCCCUUUGAAUCUGUCAUUCGAAUAAAAAAACAUUUUUUUUAUGUUUUUGAGUCAAGUCUAUGUCAAAAUAAGUGAGAAAGGAUUUCAAAAUUUGCUACCAACUUAUUCAAUUGCACAAAUCAAGACAAAAAGGCCAGUACAUAAAAAAAACAUGACUAUGAUUAGAAUUAAGGCAUGCAAAAAGUUUUGUCAACAAACAAGUUUGGGAACUCGCGGAAAUACAAAGGUUCAAAGGGUUUAUUUGAGAAGCAUGGCAAAGCAGAAAUACCAAGUUUGUUGCAGAGUCACUCUUAAUAAUCUGAGUUUGGGUCAAUGAUGUAGCAAAUCAAUGACUUAUACUAAUGGUUGGAAACAAGGUUAAUGGGACAAGUGCAAGAGAAAUCACCUAAAAGCCAAAGUCACAGGCCAACCACCCUGUUUUAAACUCACAAGUUUUCUUUGUAUGAAAUAGGAACAGUUGCUACCUUCUAAUCAAAGAAAUCAAUGCGCAAAUAUACAGAGGUGCAAUUUCUCAUUUUUGUAAAUACAAGAGCAGUAUUGCUGUACAGGUUUGGCAAUCACAAUCAUGGUAAAACUCAUCAUCUUGUACCCCUAAGAGGCACACUCUCUAAUUUUGGGUCUUUCAUGUCUCAUGGCUAGGAGGUGCACAUCCUAAUUUGAGCCUUUAAUCCUAAAAGAUGCAUUUUUUGUAAAAAUCUUUCAUUUUAACUCUUAAGAGAAGGACUUGUUGGUCUCAGUCAUUCAACUUUACCCUCAAAAGACAUGACUAUGAUCAGAAUUAAGGCAUGCGAAAAGUUUUAUCAACAAACAAGUUUGGGAACUCGCGGAAAUACAAAGGUUCAAAGGGUUUAUUUGAGAAGCAUGGCAAAGCAGAAAUACCAAGUUUGUUGCAGAGUCACUCUUAAUAAUCUGAGUUUGGGUCAAUGAUGUAGCAAAUCAAUGACUUAUACUAAUGGUUGGAAACAAGGUUAAUGGGACAAGUGCAAGAGAAAUCACCUAAAAGCCAAAGUCGCAAGCCAACCACCCUGUUGUAAACUCACAAGUUUUCUUUGUAUGAAAUAGGAACAGUUGCUACCUUUUAAUCAAAGAAAUCAAUGCGCAAAUAUACAGAGGUGCAAUUUCUCAUUUUUGUAAAUACAAGAGCAGUAUUGCUGUACAGGUUUGGCAAUCACAAUCAUGGUAAAACUCAUCAUCUUGUACCCCUAGGAGGCACAUUCUCUAAUUUUGGGUCUUUCAUGUCUCAUGGCUAGGAGGUGCACAUCCUAAUUUGAGCCUUUAAUCCUAAAAGAUGCAUUUUUUGUAAAAAUCUUUCAUUUUCACUCUUAAGAGAGAGACUUGUUGGUCUCAGUCAUUCAACUUUACCCUCAAAAGGUGCAUUUCUUGAUGAGAAUCUUAAUUAAACUUUGCAUUAUGCAUUGUUGCAAGUAGUUGUGAUUGGGUUUGAGACCCGCAAAAGCUUUUGAUGAUAAACUGGGGCAAAAAAAUAAUUUAAUUCUUGUUAUUAGGAACUUCACUUUAGGACCCUCCUGGAAAAUGGGAAUUUACUUUAUGUUUAGAACCCUUCUGGAAAAUGAGAAUUUACUUUAUGUUCAGGACCCUCCUGGAAAAUAGAAAUUUACUUUCUGUUCAGGACCCUCUUGGAAAUUGGGAACUUACUUUAUGUUAAGGACCCUUCUGAAAAAUGGAGAUUUACUUUAUGAUCAGGACCCUCCUGGAAAAUAAGAAUUUACUUUAUGUUUAGGACCCUCCUGAAAAAUGGGAACUUACUUUAUGUUUAGGACUCUCCUGAAAAAUGGGAACUUACUUUACGCUCAGGACCCUCCUGAAAAAUGAGAACUUACUUUAUGUACAGGACCCUCUUGAAAAAUGGGGAUUUACUAUAUGAUCAGGACUCUCCUGAAAAAUGAGAAUUUACUUUAUGUUCAGGACCCUCUUGGAAAAUAAAAAUUUAAUUUAUGCUCAGGACCCUCCUGAAAAAUGGAAACUUACUUUAUGUUUAGUACCCCUUGAAAAAUAGGGAUUUACUUAUUGAUCAACACCCUCCUUGAAAAUGGAAAUUUACUUUAUAUUCAGGACCUUCCUGGAAAAUGAGAAUUUACUUUAUGUUUAGGACCCUCUUGGAAAAUGAAAAUUUACUUUAUGUUCAGGACCCUCCUAAAAAAUGGAAAUUUACUUUAUGUUCAGGACCCUUCAGGAAAAUCCUGAACAUGGAAAUUUACUUAUGUUCAUGACCCUCCUAAAAAAUGGGAAUUUACUUUAUGUUUUGGAUCCUCCAGAUAAAUGUGACAUUAUUUAAUGUCUAGGACCCUCCUGGAAAAUGAGAAUUUAAUUAUGUUCAUGACCCUCCAGGUAAAUGGGAAUUUACUUUAUGUUCAGGACCUUACUGGAAAAUGAGAAUUUACUUUAGGUUCAGGAUCCUCCUGGAAAAUGAGAAUUUACUUUAUGUUCAGGACCCUCCUAGAAAAUGAAAGUUUAUUUUAUGUUUAGGACCCUCUUGGAAAGUGAGCAUUUAUUUUAUGUUAAGGACCCCCUUGGAAAAUGGAAAUUCACGUUAUGUUUAGGGCCUUCCCCCCCCCCCCCCCCCCCCCCCCACAAACAAAAAGCAAUAACUUAUAUUCAGGACCCCUCUGGAAAAUGGAAAUUUACUUUAUGUUCAGGACCCCCUGAAAAGUGGGAAUUUACUUUAUGUUCUGGACCCUCCUGGAAAAUGAGAAUUUACUUUCUUUUCAGGACUCUCUUGGAAAUUGGGAAUGUACUUUCUAUUCAUGACCCUCCUGAAAAAAAGGAGUUUACUUUCUGUUCAGGACCCUUCUGGAAAAUGGAAUUUACUUUCUGUUUAGGACUCUCCUGAAAAAUGAGAAUUUAAUUUCUGUUCAGGACCCUCCUGAAAAAUGGGACUUUACUUUCUGUUCAGGACCCUCCUGAAAAAUGGGACUUUACUUUUUGUCCUGGACCCUUCUAAAAAUUGUGUUUUAUUUUCAGAAAAGGGAAACAUUCAUUACCAUAAUUCUUCAAGAUAAUUUGUGUUCUAGUUUUGACUUUGAUUUUAGGAGAAUUGUAAGUUAGAAACCCACCUGAAAAAUAGAGUGUAAUGAAAUGGAAAGUCAGGAGCCCGCCUAACAAAUAGGGUGAUGAAAUUAAAACUCAGGGGCCCGCCUGAAGAACAGGGUGGAAAUUGAAAGUUAAGCAACAAGGUUUGAAAAAAUUGAAAGUCAAGAAACAAGGUUUGGAGAUUGAAAGUCAAGCAACAAAGUAAAGAAAUUGUAAGUCAGUAGCCCGCCUGAAAAAUAGAGUGGAGAUUUUCAAAUUCACGAUCAAGGUCCAGAAGUACCCCCGACAGAACAUGGUUAAUUUGUGAGUUCAUCUCCAAAAAUCAAAUUUUGUAUGGAGAAAGAAUCUAAUCCAAAGUUCAACCCAAAGAAAAUUAGCUCUUUUGUCACUUUUGAAAGUAUCGGAGACCCAAGACAAGAAUCAAGAGAUGCUGCAUAGAUAGGACUUUUGUAGUGUCAUUUAUCUUUUAACUUGUAAUUUUAUUUUGAUGUAAUGACAGGGCCGUAGACCAAAACCUCGAAGGGACCUCACUCGACUGUCUAAUUUGAUAUAGUCUCUUCUUUUAAAUCCUAGAACUACAUGCAGCCAGAUCCCCACCUAAUCUGGGAUAGGUAGGACGUCCAAAGUCAAGAUUCGAUUUCACUCGAUCUUUCUUCAGCGUUCUUUUGAAUAAUGGUUGGUCAAAAUUUUGUCUCGUUGUCUACUUCUUUGUAUGGAAACACUUUGUGUUUACAUCCAAAGAGGGGCAUAAUGUAGACACAUAAUAUUUUCCUCCCCAAAAAAUUAAUUUCUACUAAUUUACCUAUCCCUACCCCUACCCUACCUCUACCUACCCUGCCGCUAUCUGCCCCUACCCUACCUAAUCCUACUCACUAAACUGCCACACCCACGUGCACCCUCCAUUUGGUUAACAAAAAAAAUACAACAUAUACUCACUCACAGAAGACACAGAUGACACACACUACAUUAUCUACACACACUACACACAGGGAAUUCUCUGCAUAAUUUUUCUCCACCAAACAUAUUGCCAUAAACACCAUCAUAUAUUUACAUACACACAUAUCUUAAUUUUUUUCAUGGAUUAGAAACAACCCAAUCCAUAGACACAACCUCACUUUUACAGUCAUAUACACAAGACACAGGGGAAAAGAAAAAAGAGGGUGAAGGGCG